UCGUUUCUAGUCUAUUUUAGGAUGUCGUUUUGUCGUAGCGGUGGAGUAUGUUUUUACGGAAUGAG
This 65-nucleotide transfer RNA is filed under the name Fasciola gigantica. RNAcentral's name for it is "tRNA-Asp". The record is from RNAcentral. Lineage: Eukaryota; Metazoa; Platyhelminthes; Trematoda; Plagiorchiida; Fasciolidae.